CCGUUUUCGAGAACAUUUGGUGGACGGUGGUUAGACUUCGUCCCGGGAACGAGACCUUCUAAGGGUCAAGGCGAGAACCUGAGAUCUCGACUGAAAUUAUUUGUUUGUUCAAGUGAGGAAUCAGGGAAAGCUUUUCCACUCAACAGCAAAGAAAAUCAAAUUAGUGUUACUUGCUUCUCAAACUGAAUGGUCAGCUUAAAUGGCACUAUAGUCUUAACAGGAUUUAGUCAAACUCUAGCGUGUCCUCCGACGUUUAAACACGAGCUCAAGAGAAUUCACACGUGACAUUCAGCAGAUACAAAUCUCCUUAGGGAAGUGUUGAGGACGUUUGUUUACCUCCUUUUAUUAUUGAAGUAGAUUAUGUACUCCUGUAGUAAGUUCCAAAACGGAAAGUGGUCCUGAACGUUGAAAAGGAGCCACGAAACUAGAUACAUCCCAUCAACAUACAGAUGACCUCAGGGUAGUGAUGUUAAGUACGUCGUUGCUUGAACAACCAAGAAUCUGUUUUCUAAUCAGUGAUCGUCUGAGGAACUGCUCCUCACAAAACUGGCAUGAUCCUUUUUGGAUUUGUUGAUGUGGAGAUGACGAGCAGCUGUGCCAGAAGGGGUUUCCAGACAAGGAGACAUUCCAGAGAAAUAUUCCAGAGCACAGCAGCUGUGCACAGCUUUCGGUUUGCUAGAACAGCAUAGAAACCUUUUGUGAUUGCUGCGCAUACACAAUUUUGCUAGCCAUCCGAGGCGUCCUUGACCUGGGAACCACUUUAACUAGUCGAAAUGGCAGUUGUACGGAUGGAGAGCAUUCCGCCAAAUGCAGAUAAUUAUACAUUUUGUCUUGAGAAGAAACACGUCAUUCUACUGGUUUGGCUCAGGGCAAAUGUAAUGUAAAACUGGAAAUAAAGAAAACUCGACUCUGAGGCAGCAUUGCCAUGGCCGGUGGAGGGAGAGAGGAGCGCCCUCAGCAGCUGGCAACCAACCAGAUUUCGUCUUCCAUAUUGAAGAGAAUUCGAAUCGCUGAAUUUGUGGUCUUGUCAAAUCAGUAACAGUGGCGUGAUUACACAUAAAUCUGAUGUCAAAAGUGCCUAAAAUAUACACAGUUCAAAGGUCUCCUUUCCCUCUACCCUCCACCCUUAUGAUAUACCCCCUCCUCCCCCUCGCACUCCACCUUCCCCCUCCUCCUCCCACCCCUUGCCUUAUAUAUCCGAUAAAAAAAAAGACAGAUGUAGAAAAAAUUAAAAUUUACGACCAAUUUUACAUCCUAGACAGAGAGAACGCAUCCAACCGCCAUUGGUCAGUCAUGUACCUCAGGAUUUUCG
Long non-coding RNA from Macrobrachium nipponense, 1312 nucleotides. RefSeq lists it as uncharacterized. The transcript has 6 exons. The record is from RefSeq and is a predicted model, not a curated record. NCBI's taxonomy places the organism in Eukaryota, Metazoa, Arthropoda, Malacostraca, Decapoda, Palaemonidae.